CAAAUCCUUAAUUUUUGAACCACAAAAAUCCCCAUCUCUCUCUCUCGUCUCUCUCUCUCAUCUCUCUCUCUCGACUGUAAGCAAGGCAGACGACGGCGUCGAGCCAUAUCAUCGAUCAAUCCUUCCUGUAUCUCUCUCUCUCUUCCUCCCUGUAUCUCUCUCGACGGUACAACACUUCAACCCCAGAACCAAAAACCCUACCCUCCUACUCAUCAUCAUGAACAGAUCAAACCUCCACAGACUGCUCCACACUCGAUCCAAUCUUCCACAUCAUAUACGGUCCAAACCAUGUACGGUUACACUUCCUCUCUCUCUCCCCUCUGCCUCCGACGCCACCGCUACUGCCACUGUGACUACCGCGCAGCCGCCAUCACCUCCGUUACCGCCCUCUCUCUCUCUCUCUCUCUCUCUCGCUCAGAAACCCAUUCGAUUUGAAGCUCAGAAACCCUCACUCUCAAUCGAUUGCUCAGAUUUGUACUGCGAAGAAAGUCCUCUACUCCUUGGGAAUGUUGGUAUGGGUUCUAGACUAUGCACUUAUUAUCAGAAAUCUACCCCAGGCGACCAAACUGGGAACUUGUUGCGUAAUGGAAACACAGUUUGCGGAGUGUCCUCAUACUUGAUCCUGCUGAUAAAUCUCCUUUCCUUGGAGAUAUAAAAGCAGGCUGCAGCCAAUCAUGUCUUGAAACUAACAUGUAUAGGGCUCCUAUAUUUCCUCAUAAGGUGUCAUCAACGGACUAUUUGUUGGUUCGUUCUGCAAAGGGAAAGCUUUCAAUAAGACAGAUUGACAGGCUUGAUGUUGUUGGACAACAGGUAACAUUGGUAUUUUUUUGGGGCUUAAUUUACUGAAACUUGCUUUUUUUUUUUUUUUGAACGGCACCUAACUAUUUAAAGAAUGCUUUUUGAUGAUUUUCUUAUUACUCAUCCAAUCAUUGCCGAUGAUGCAAUUUUUUGCUUAUGUUGAUCCUCCCUGUUUGUUUAGAUCUUCUUGACCUGGGAAUUAUAAAGUGUAAUUACUUUUGUUUUGUUUUAUGUGCACACUAGUUUUUCUCUCCUUGUACUAUAUUUGCAUGUGAAUGCAGUAUCAGGUGCAGGGGACUUCUUGAAUUAUUAUGUCUAGGCAUUUGGUGUCCUUUGAAUGGAAGGACUGCAUUAUUAUUAUUAUUAUUUUUAUUUUUAUUUUUUUGAGACGGCACCACAUAGCCGUUGCAAACGCGACAGGUAUUUUUUUGAGACAACUUUUUGCGACGGUACUCUUUGCCGUCGCCAAUACUCUUUAGCGACGGCGCAUCAUGCUGUCUCAAAUAUUUUUUAACAACAGCAGGUCUCCCGUCGCAAUAAAAAUUCUUUAGCGACGGUAUUUUUUGCUGUCGCAAAUAACAUCUUUAGCGACGGCAACAUAGUGCCGUCUCAAAAAAUUUAAGAUUUUUUCAUAUUAAAGGCGACGGAAAAAUGCUGUCGCAAAAAGGCAACUUUGCCGUCGCAAAAAAAAGGCAACGGUAACGUGCCGUUGUAAAACCUUUUUGCAACCCCCUACUUGUCGUCGCUAAAAGUCAUUUGCCGUCGCAAAAAUCCUUUUGAGACGGCAUUUUGAGUAUUUGUGACGGUGUUUUGCCGUCGCAAAAAGUCAAAUUUUUUGUAGUGUGCUUCAUGAUUGGGAGAGUUUCAUGAGGAUUAGUGUUGCCGAUCAAAUAUUUUAUUGUUUCCUUCUGAAUAAUACUUUACAUGAUGAAUUUAUAACCAAACUGGCCUGUAUUCUUUUAAUUUAAUUGAUCAACUGAAAUAAGGAAGAACACACGGUUGCCUUUUUUAUUGGCUUGCUCAUAAUUUUGAGAUGUGAUUUCAUGUA
Camellia sinensis is the source of this 1846-nucleotide non-coding RNA. The record is from RefSeq and is a predicted model, not a curated record. Lineage: Eukaryota; Viridiplantae; Streptophyta; Magnoliopsida; Ericales; Theaceae.